GAUGAACGCUGGCGGCGUGCCUAAUACAUGCAAGUUGAGCGAACAGACGAGGAGCUUGCUCCUCUGACGUUAGCGGCGGACGGGUGAGUAACACGUGGAUAACCUACCUAUAAGACUGGGAUAACUUCGGGAAACCGGAGCUAAUACCGGAUAAUAUAUUGAACCGCAUGGUUCAAUAGUGAAAGACGGUUUUGCUGUCACUUAUAGAUGGAUCCGCGCCGCAUUAGCUAGUUGGUAAGGUAACGGCUUUCCAAGGCAACGAUGCGUAGCCGACCUGAGAGGGUGAUCGGCCACACUGGAACUGAGACACGGUCCAGACUCCUACGGGAGGCAGCAGUAGGGAAUCUUCCGCAAUGGGCGAAAGCUUGACGGAGCAACGCCGCGUGAGUGAUGAAGGUCUUCGGAUCGUAAAACUCUGUUAUUAGGGAAGAACAAAUGUGUAAGUAACUAUGCACGUCUUGACGGUACCUAAUCAGAAAGCCACGGCUAACUACGUG
This 497-nucleotide ribosomal RNA is filed under the name uncultured bacterium. RNAcentral describes it as "partial 16S ribosomal RNA". It matches the Rfam family "Bacterial small subunit ribosomal RNA", at positions 28 to 507 of the family's 1533-position model. The record is from RNAcentral.